Molecule: ribosomal RNA, 232 nt
Filed under: uncultured bacterium
Lineage: Bacteria
Description: partial 16S ribosomal RNA
Rfam family: Bacterial small subunit ribosomal RNA
Source: RNAcentral
GAUCCUGGCUCAGGAUGAACGCUAGCUACAGGCUUAACACAUGCAAGUCGAGGGGCAGCGGGAUUGAAGCUUGUCUUCAAUUGCCGGCGACCGGCGCACGGGUGAGUAACGCGUAUCCAACCUUCCGUACACUCCAGGGAUAGCCUUUCGAAAGAAAGAUUAAUACCUGAUGGUAUGAUGAGAUUGCAUGAUAGCAUCAUUAAAGAUUUAUCGGUAUACGAUGGGGGAUGCG